RNAcentral lists this transfer RNA (82 nucleotides) under Didymella pomorum. RNAcentral describes it as "Peyronellaea pomorum tRNA". It matches the Rfam family "tRNA". From Rfam's summary of the family: Transfer RNA (tRNA) molecules are approximately 80 nucleotides in length. Their secondary structure includes four short double-helical elements and three loops (D, anti-codon, and T loops). The record is from Rfam by way of RNAcentral. Lineage: Eukaryota; Fungi; Ascomycota; Dothideomycetes; Pleosporales; Didymellaceae.
GGCCUAAUGGCCCAAUGGCAAGGCGCUUGACUACGAUUCCAUCGGUAUCAAGAGAUUCCAGGUUCGACCCCUGGUUAGGUCA